UAGGGAAAUUCCAGGACACAAAAAGUGCGAAAGCGAUGAUAUAUGAAUGUUUG
This 53-nucleotide small RNA is filed under the name Ditylum brightwellii. Its description in RNAcentral is "partial Mitochondrion-encoded tmRNA". Lineage: Eukaryota; Bacillariophyta; Thalassiosirophyceae; Lithodesmiales; Lithodesmiaceae. The record is from RNAcentral.